CACUGAACACACACGAAAGAAGGAAAAGGGAAGGCUUUGCCAUCUAUCUUGGGCCCUUCACAACCACUGGCAAAUUGUAGCAAUCAUCAGCUCCCUCUCUAAUGGUAUUCAAGGCCUGUCACCGCUCCCCCAGCCUCUGAGGCUGGGUGCAAUCUGCCAUUUAGCCACCAAAGAGGAGCGCGUUUCUCAGGCUGUUAAUGGCAAGCUCUCAAGGCAAAGGGAGAGCCGGCUCAUGAAUACCAACAUAACUCUCUCAUAUUGACCUGUCUGCGUUCCCAUAACCUGAGAAGAAAAAAAACCUGCCCUCCAGGCAUCUAUUCACCACGUCACGUUUUCCUUUUGAAAGUUUUUCAAGGUUAAACAGUGGACAUUUUACUCUCUAAACUCUGAAGCUGUGUGUGUGUGUCAGCUUCCAGUUUGACAGAUGCAGCCACAGUAAUAUCACUGGAUCUCCUUGAGAGAAGCUGUCACCACGAGCGAAGCAGUCACAGACACCAGCCUGAACCCUCCAUAAACCUUCAAGUGGCUUUGCUUGGAAAACUCAGAACCACACCAACAUUGUGACUUCUUUUAGGCACCAUCAACUGGAAUUCCUUGAAGCCUUUUGCUUCAUUCUCAAUGUUUCUGAAGCAGAGAUCUACACAGAUACUGGACAAACCGUUUACCUAUUGACAGGCUUGGGAGGGCAGCUAUUUUCUUAACGAGGACAUAGAUAUAUAGCAAUUUUUGAAAGAAGAUGCCUUAAGAAUGCAUCUGUGAUUUCUUUUCAUGUAAUAAUGCAUAUUCUUAGCUAGUAUAAAGCCACAGGGUACCAUCAAGUUUUGUCAUGUAACUGUUACAAUACAAUUUCAUAGAACUGAUUCUUCUUCCAAGAGGCUCCCUAUGAAUGCUGCAUGAAACCUAAAUGAUAAUGAUGUAUCCGAUACAUCUCCAUUUUCACAUUUUCUCUGCCAACUACAGAAUCUCUAAUCACAAUUUUUAAACAUCUGUGCCUAAGUUUAGUGUAACUAAAAAAGCAAUGGUGAUGAUAAUAACCAAAGUCAAAAGUGUAUGGUAUACAAAAUUCUGUUUUACUCAGCCUUAUCCAAUUUAUUCGUCACAAUCCCCAAAUUCUACUGCCUCGUCAGAAUUCAAUGGCUGCUUUUCCGAAGCUCUAAAGAGAAUCGUAGCAUUGAUUAUCUGUUGGCUGCUGGCAUCUGGCUGCUCCACAUUAACUCUAAGAAUUUCCUGCUCAAAGUCAGAUCGUACUUACUUUGGGCUUUAAGUUUUUUUGGUAUUGUUGUUCAUUUGUAAAUUUGACCAACUUUUAUCACGAGUGUGUUCCAGCCUCUGACUGGGUCUCUAAGGUACAAGCCCUGUAACCUCUAGAUAUGACUGCACUUUAACGUGAAUGCCAUAAGCCACUCUCAUCCUGAAGACAAGGCCUAUAGCAGAGAAAUACGGGGGCCAUGCCCCAGGCUCAGUUAAAUGUCAGGAAAACAUAAAUGUGUUCUGCUCCUAUAGCUCAUCAUUCAAACCUCUGUUCAAGCGAGACAUGUUGAUUAGAACUAUUUGUACAAGAGCUUCUUAAAUUCAAAUGAUCUAAAUUAAACAACAACUUCAACCUGCUCAGGUGUUUUGUUUAGUUUCCCUGUAAGUGAAGAGUUUAUUCACAAAGAAUCACAGAAUAACCCGAUGUGGAAGGGUUCAUUGAAACUAACCCCUGGUUUCACACAAGACUGCCCAAAAACAAAC
Molecule: long non-coding RNA, 1734 nt
Filed under: Gallus gallus (chicken)
Lineage: Eukaryota; Metazoa; Chordata; Aves; Galliformes; Phasianidae
Description: lncRNA (ENSGALG00010011214.1)
Source: RNAcentral